Podarcis raffonei (Aeolian wall lizard) is the source of this 322-nucleotide long non-coding RNA. RefSeq lists it as uncharacterized. The transcript is spliced from 2 exons. Lineage: Eukaryota; Metazoa; Chordata; Lepidosauria; Squamata; Lacertidae. The record is from RefSeq and is a predicted model, not a curated record.
GGAAGACAGAAUCGGAAAUCAAUAGGACCUGAACAGAUUGGAGAACUGGGCGCUAGCGAACAAAGUGAAUUUCAAGAGGGACCAAUGGAAGGUUCUGCACUUAGACAGGAAGAACCGGGUGCGCAAAUAUAAGUUGGGGAACACCUGGCUUACCCGCAAUACAGCUUUUACAUCUUCUUGACAAGCUGGAGCCAAGAUUCCCUGUUCUACCUAUUAAAGAUAACAGAUUCCUGGCCUCCUCUGCACCUCAUCGCCCUAAAGAAAACAACUUUUGUCUGAAAGUUUUGAAUGUAGCAGAAAUAAAAGUCUAAAACCUCCUGCA